RNAcentral lists this ribosomal RNA (460 nucleotides) under uncultured bacterium. RNAcentral describes it as "partial 16S ribosomal RNA". It matches the Rfam family "Bacterial small subunit ribosomal RNA", at positions 338 to 795 of the family's 1533-position model. The record is from RNAcentral.
CCUACGGGCGACAGCAGUGAGGAAUAUUGGUCAAUGGGCGCGAGCCUGAACCAGCCAAGUAGCGUGAAGGAUGACUGCCCUACGGGUUGUAAACUUCUUUUAUACAAGAGUGAAGUGAGGCACGUGUGCCUUUUUGUAUGUACUUUAUGAAUAAGGAUCGGCUAACUCCGUGCCAGCAGCCGCGGUAAUACGGAGGGUCCGAGCGUUAUCCGGAUUUAUUGGGUUUAAAGGGAGCGUAGAUGGAGUGUUAAGUCAGUUGUGAAAGUUUGCGGCUCAACCGUAAAAUUGCCAUUGAUACUGGCAGGCUGGAGUGCAGAUGAGGUAGGUGGAAUUCGUGGUGUAGCGGUGAAAUGCUUAGAUAUCACGAAGAACUCCGAUGGCGAAGGCAGCUUACUAAACUGUAACUGACAUUGAUGCUCGAAAGUGUGGGUAGCAAACAGGAUUAGAUACCCUUGUAGUC